AUUGAACGCUGGCGGCAGGCCUAACACAUGCAAGUCGAGCGGAUGAAGGGAGCUUGCUCCUGGAUUCAGCGGCGGACGGGUGAGUAAUGCCUAGGAAUCUGACUGGUAGAGGGGGCUAACGUCCGGAAACGGGAGCUAAUACCGCAUACGUCCUGAGGGAGAAAGUGGGGGAUCUUCGGACCUCACGCUAUCAGAUGAGCCUAGGUCGGAUUAGCUAGUUGGUGGGGUAAAGGCCUACCAAGGCGACGAUCCGUAACUGGUCUGAGAGGAUGAUCAGACACACUGGAACUGAGACACGGUCCAGACUCCUACGGGGGGCAGCAGUGGGGAAUAUUGGACAAUGGGCGAAAGCCUGAUCCAGCCAUGCCGCGUGUGUGAAGAAGGUCUUCGGAUUGUAAAGCACUUUAAGUUGGGAGGAAGAGCAGUAAGUUAAUACCUUGCUGUUUUGACGUUACCAACAGAAUAAGCACCGGCUAACUUCGUG
RNAcentral lists this ribosomal RNA (484 nucleotides) under uncultured bacterium. RNAcentral's name for it is "partial 16S ribosomal RNA". It matches the Rfam family "Bacterial small subunit ribosomal RNA", at positions 30 to 507 of the family's 1533-position model. The record is from RNAcentral.